Molecule: long non-coding RNA, 2661 nt
Filed under: Solanum lycopersicum (tomato)
Lineage: Eukaryota; Viridiplantae; Streptophyta; Magnoliopsida; Solanales; Solanaceae
Description: long non-coding RNA (SLYC_LNC001035)
Source: RNAcentral
AGAAAUAGUAUUCUGACCCAUUUUUUCACUAACUAUCGCCUCUCUAAAGCUACUUUGUAACCUCUUCUCACAGCAUUCUUUUCACUUUGGUUGAGGACAAAUCAUUUCCAGGUUCUUAAAGAAAAUCGUUCGAGAAUCGUGAGGUAAUGUAACUCUUCUUCUUUUUCAGGUUUCAAUUUGGUUGAUAUAUUGUAAAGUCUAUCUUCUUCUUUAGGGUUUAUAUUUGAUUUUGUAAAUUAAAGAAAAUCUUUUUCAAAAUUGUAACGUAAUGUAACUCUCUAGACUCAAUUACUCUAUAGUAUGUAAUUAUGCUCAAGGAACCUUCCAAGGGUUGUUUGAAUUAGAAAAUUAUUUCAAAAAUACAUUUGUUGCUCUUUGUUUGCAUUUGAUGCCCCUGCAAUAUGGUGAAAUCUUGUUUCACUUUCUUACAGUAUUUGUCUGAGCUUUAUGAAAUUAGUCACUUUACACGAUAGUGGGACAAUCUUUGUUACUCUUUUGCUUUAACAAAACUUAGGACCUCUUUUUUUUUUAAAAUAAAAAUAAAUGGGUGUUGGAGUUCUUUUUGCUGCUUUUGCUCUAGAAUACAUUAGAUAUAAAGGUACUUAGUACAUAGAGUAUAUGUCAUGUUCUGUAUUUCUUCUUGUUUUUUCUCAUUUGAAAUUAAAAUGUAAUUGCAGACAUUGGUUUAUUACUUGUAACGCAUGAAUACCAGAAAGUGUAAAAAACAAUAUUCUAGUGCAACUCUCACCAUACAUUUAUGUUUUGAUCAUAGGAGUGAAAUAUUAGUAUAGGCAGAGUAAAUUAGUAUUCAAUUUUUUAAAAAAGAAAUAAGAGUAGUAGUGAAAAAAAAAGCACUUGAAGCAGAAGCACGAAAAGAACACAGAUAGAGAUGGCAUAUUUGUCUUCUAAGUCCUAACUUUGAGUGUAGUAUUCUGUAUAUUCCAUGGGAUAUGGGGGAAAUGAGCAUUUUUUGUGAUUUUUAGUUUUAGUGAUUAUUAUAUUUUGAGCAUAGGAAACUGAACAAGUUUCUCAGUGAGCUUUAAGAAAGAUUAGAGUUGCGGUGGGGAGGAAAUGACUUAUACAACUCAUAGGAUCAGUUGCUUGCGUUACUUAGCUUAUUUUUUGCUUCGCAUCAGGUGGUAAAAACUGGUCUAAAAAAUUAUUUGAUAUUUCAUAUAGUUCGUAAGAGUAUUUAAUUUGAAAAUGUUUGGUGGUUAUAGCCUUACAUACUGAUUAUUUAUUUGUUAUUUGAUUACAUGCCUUGGUUUGUUAUGGGAUCUAUGUUGAAUGUACUAUAAUGCUUUUUCUGCUGUUUCUAAGUUCUCACCUACAUAUGUUUGUUUCUUAUGUGUAUACAAGUGAUAGUGUCUAGGAACUGAUGGAUCAUCACGCCUGAUAAGUAGGAAGGAAGUUGCAGGUCUCUUGUCCCUCCAAGCAAUAAUACUCAUUUUUUCCUUAACUAAUACUCUAAUAGAAUACAAUUGAUAGAGUUCAACUACAUCUUUGUAGGAAUAAUCUCUUUGUUUGAGUUGAGGUGAUAGAGUUCGAUUGCAUCUUCCUUAUCUAAUACUCUUUAUGUAUAUAUAUCGAUUUUGAACAUUCUAAAAAUAAUUAUAGAAGUUGACUUAGUGGUUAAGAGGAUUCAAAAUUCACCUCGAAGUUUCAAGUUAAAAUAUGAAGGGAGGAAGAUCAAAGGGAAAGAAGACUAAAUUUAAUUAGGUAUACAGAGCAGUUUGAAGAAAGCUUUAAGAUUAAUUAAAUUUCAGAGUACUCUUGGUCACAAAAAUUCAGCCAAAUGAUUUUCUCUUAGCAACCAUACCUAUCAUCCAAACCCAUCUCACGGCUAGUCUUCCUGGUUUGUUUCAUCAUAUUUACCUAGUUACCAUCCUUCAGAUGACGAUCAACAAAGAAUUCACUGCUUUAAGAAUUUAGCAACUAAAUACGCCUUUUUCUUUAAUUAGGAAACUUUGUAGAAAGAAAUGGGAUGAGGGGAGUAAAGAAAACACACAAACUACCAUUUGUGAAGAUACACAACGAAUUGGAACACAACCUUCCUUGUUUCAUCCAUCAUCAUCGUUGUCUAGUGCUUCUACUUUUCAAUCUUCGAAAGAAAUGGAAGUAAUGCGAAGACAAAUUUCAGAGCUUACAGAAUCACUUCAAUCAUCAUAAACUAACUUCGGUAAAGUGCAGAAAUUCAUGGAGAAACAUAGGUUGAAUCUGAUGAAAGUGAAGGGACCGACUCUGAUGAAAAAGUAGAUUAUUUUAUGGUUGUUUAGAUAUUUUCUAUGAGAUUUAGACAUGUUUUGAACUAUAUACUUCCUUUUUGCAUAACAACUUAGUAAUUAUUAGAUUUGAUUUUGGUGAAACUUGAGCUUUUAGACUCAAUUGAAUUGAAUUGAAUGCAAUUUGAAUGUUUGUUCAUUCUUGAAAGUGAAUGGGUCAAAAUAUGAAGGAAAAGUAUGAAUAAGAAUAUACUCAUGUAUGGUUGGAAAUAUGUCACAACUCACCUCUACGGGAGGUUUGAGAGAAAUAAAUAAAUUUUAUUUGACAAGAUUGACCAAUGGUCGUGUACGUUUAUACGUCAUAAAUAUUGUGGUAUGUUUAUUGUGAACUACCGAAAAGGCAAAAGAAAGAAAUAAUUAUUGCCUAUAAAGGUUGUGG